GGCUGUAGCUCAGUGGUGGAGCACUUACCUAGCACGUGUGAGGCACUGGGUUCAAUUCUCAGCGCCA
Molecule: transfer RNA, 67 nt
Filed under: Marmota monax (woodchuck)
Lineage: Eukaryota; Metazoa; Chordata; Mammalia; Rodentia; Sciuridae
Rfam family: tRNA
About the family: Transfer RNA (tRNA) molecules are approximately 80 nucleotides in length. Their secondary structure includes four short double-helical elements and three loops (D, anti-codon, and T loops). Further hydrogen bonds mediate the characteristic L-shaped molecular structure. tRNAs have two regions of fundamental functional importance: the anti-codon, which is responsible for specific mRNA codon recognition, and the 3' end, to which the tRNAs corresponding amino acid is attached (by aminoacyl-tRNA synthetases). tRNAs cope with the degeneracy of the genetic code in two manners: having more than one tRNA (with a specific anti-codon) for a particular amino acid; and 'wobble' base-pairing, i.e. permitting non-standard base-pairing at the 3rd anti-codon position.
Source: Rfam by way of RNAcentral